CCUACGGGAGGCUGCAGUGAGGAAUAUUGGUCAAUGGACGAGAGUCUGAACCAGCCAAGUAGCGUGAAGGAUGACUGCCCUAUGGGUUGUAAACUUCUUUUAUAUGGGAAUAAACUGUUCCACGUGUGGGAUUUUGUAUGUACCAUAUGAAUAAGGAACGGCUAACUCCGUGCCAGCAGCCGCGGUACUACGGGGGAUGCGAUCGUUGUCCGGAUUUAAUGGGUGUAAAGGGAACGUAGGUGGAUUGUUAAGUCAGUUGUGAAAGUUUGCGGCUCAACCGUAAAAUUGCAGUUGAGACUGGCAGUCUUGAGUACAGUAGAGGUGGGCGGAAUUCGUGGUGUAGCGGUGAAAUGCUUAGAUAUCACGAAGAACUCCGAUUGCGAAGGCAGUUCACUGGACUGCAACUGACACUGAGGCGCGAAAGUGUGGGUAUCAAACAGGAUUAGAUACCCUAGUAGUC
This 460-nucleotide ribosomal RNA is filed under the name uncultured bacterium. Its description in RNAcentral is "partial 16S ribosomal RNA". It matches the Rfam family "Bacterial small subunit ribosomal RNA", at positions 338 to 795 of the family's 1533-position model. The record is from RNAcentral.